ACAUUGAAACACAGGUUCCCAUAGAAUCACUGAAGUUAAGCAACUUCAAGCCUGGUCAGUACCUAAAUGGGUGACCACUUGGGAAUACCAGGUGC
Molecule: non-coding RNA, 95 nt
Organism: Acanthosepion pharaonis
Lineage: Eukaryota; Metazoa; Mollusca; Cephalopoda; Sepiida; Sepiidae
Source: the annotation of a GenBank genome assembly